Molecule: non-coding RNA, 106 nt
Organism: Acanthosepion pharaonis
Lineage: Eukaryota; Metazoa; Mollusca; Cephalopoda; Sepiida; Sepiidae
Source: the annotation of a GenBank genome assembly
UUACGGCCACAUCAUGUUGAAACACCGGUUCCCGUACGAUCACCGAAGUUAAGCAACGUCGUACCUGGUCAGUACCAAGUUAGAUGACCGCUUGGGAAUACCAGGU